RNAcentral lists this ribosomal RNA (292 nucleotides) under uncultured bacterium. RNAcentral's name for it is "partial 16S ribosomal RNA". It matches the Rfam family "Bacterial small subunit ribosomal RNA", at positions 505 to 796 of the family's 1533-position model. The record is from RNAcentral.
GUGUCAGCCGCCGCGGUAAUACGAAGGGGGCUAGCGUUGUUCGGAAUUACUGGGCGUAAAGGGCGCGUAGGCUGUGCUGUAAGUCAGGCGUGAAAGGCCCGGGCUCAACCUGGGAACUGCGCUUGAUACUGCGGCGCUUGAAGACGGGAGAGGAUGGCGGAAUUCCCAGUGUAGAGGUGAAAUUCGUAGAUAUUGGGAAGAACACCGGUGGCGAAGGCGGCCAUCUGGCCCGUUAUUGACGCUGAGGCGCGAAAGCGUGGGGAGCAAACAGGAUUAGAUACCCUGGUAGUCC